This 77-nucleotide transfer RNA is filed under the name Microbacterium aurum. RNAcentral's name for it is "tRNA-Gly". It matches the Rfam family "tRNA", at positions 16 to 71 of the family's 71-position model. From Rfam's summary of the family: Transfer RNA (tRNA) molecules are approximately 80 nucleotides in length. Their secondary structure includes four short double-helical elements and three loops (D, anti-codon, and T loops). The record is from RNAcentral. Lineage: Bacteria; Bacillati; Actinomycetota; Actinomycetes; Micrococcales; Microbacteriaceae. RNAcentral also lists the same sequence under 1 other name.
UGCGAUGGGCCGCGCGGCAUCGGGAACUUCAGCUUCCCAAGCUGAUAGCGCGGGUUCGAUUCCCGUCAUCCCCUCCA